UUGCUUGCUUGGCAGUGCAUAUAUUAAAAUUGCAACGAUACACAAAGGUUAGCACAGCCCCUGUGCAAAAUUGUGAAGUGUUCCAUAUUUUU
This 92-nucleotide small nuclear RNA is filed under the name Nannospalax galili (Upper Galilee mountains blind mole rat). Lineage: Eukaryota; Metazoa; Chordata; Mammalia; Rodentia; Spalacidae. The record is from RNAcentral.